CUAGCCGUAAACGAUGGAUACUAGGCGUUGUGAGUAUCGACCCUCACAGUGUCGUAGCUAACGCGUUAAGUAUCCCGCCUGGGGAGUACGCGCGCAAGCGUGAAACUCAAAGGAAUUGACGGGGGCCCGCACAAGCGGUGGAGUAUGUGGUUUAAUUCGAUGCAACGCGAAGAACCUUACCAGGACUUGACAUGUCGCGAAUCUCAGGGAAACUUGAGAGUGCCUUCGGGAGCGCGAACACAGGUGGCGC
Molecule: ribosomal RNA, 250 nt
Filed under: uncultured Chroococcidiopsis sp.
Lineage: Bacteria; Bacillati; Cyanobacteriota; Cyanophyceae; Chroococcidiopsidales; Chroococcidiopsidaceae
Description: partial 16S ribosomal RNA
Rfam family: Bacterial small subunit ribosomal RNA
Source: RNAcentral